This 254-nucleotide ribosomal RNA is filed under the name uncultured bacterium. RNAcentral's name for it is "partial small subunit ribosomal RNA". It matches the Rfam family "Bacterial small subunit ribosomal RNA", at positions 26 to 285 of the family's 1533-position model. The record is from RNAcentral.
AGGACGAACGCUGGCGGCGUGCCUAACACAUGCAAGUCGAGCGGAAAGGCCCUUCGGGGUACUCGAGCGGCGAACGGGUGAGUAACACGUGAGUAAUCUGCCCCUAGCUCUGGGAUAGCUCCGGGAAACCGGGAUUAAUACCGGAUACGACCACCUUAGACAUCUUUUGUGGUGGAAAGAAUUUCGGCUAGGGAUGAGCUCGCGGCCUAUCAGCUUGUUGGUGGGGUAACGGCCUACCAAGGCGACGACGGGUA